Molecule: ribosomal RNA, 518 nt
Filed under: Nephroselmis pyriformis
Lineage: Eukaryota; Viridiplantae; Chlorophyta; Nephroselmidophyceae; Nephroselmidales; Nephroselmidaceae
Description: partial Bacterial large subunit ribosomal RNA
Rfam family: Bacterial large subunit ribosomal RNA
Source: RNAcentral
UGACUGGGGCGGUCGCCUCCUAAAUUGUAACGGAGGCGUGCGAAGGUAAGCUCAAUUCAGCCGGAAAUUGAAUUAAGAGCAUAAUGGCACAUGCUUGCCUGACUGUGAGACUUACAAGUCAAACAGAGACGAAAGUCGGCCAUAAUGACCCGGAAAUUUUAAAUGGAAAAAUUUUCGCUUAACGGAUCAAAAGUACGCUAGGGAUAACAGGCUAAUCGUUCCCAAGAGUCCAUAUCGACGGAACGGUUUGGCACCUCGAUGUCGACUCAUCACAACCUGGGGCUGAAGAAGGUCCCAAGGGUUUGGUUGUUCGCCAAUAAAAGUGGUACGUGAGUUGGGUUUAGAACGUCGCAAGACAGUUUGGAUCCUAUCUACAGAAAUUGUUUGAAGAAUUGUGAAAAUCAACACUUAGUACGAGAGGAUUGGUUGUUGAUUAACCUCUGGUGUUUCAAUUGUUUAUCCAUAAGCAUUGUUGGGUAGCUACGUUAAAAAUUUGUAACUGCUGAAAGCAUCUAAGU